This 551-nucleotide long non-coding RNA is filed under the name Heterocephalus glaber (naked mole-rat). RNAcentral's name for it is "lncRNA (ENSHGLG00100048879.1)". The record is from RNAcentral. Lineage: Eukaryota; Metazoa; Chordata; Mammalia; Rodentia; Bathyergidae.
CACAAGAGCUCCCCAAUCCCGAUGAAGAGACACCACAGCCACUGGGACAGGGGUCCUUGUGAUGCGAGUCCUAACUUGCUUGCUGGAGAAAGGGAAAGAAGAGAUCGAGUGGAGGAUAAGGAGAGACACAUGCGGUCUUUCCAGAGCCCUCUGAUGGGGAGACACAGUUCCUACGACUGCUAAGACCGAGACUAACGUAAGAUCUGGCAGAGUGGAGUCAGCGGUGAGCUUCUUGUGACCAAAGCCAGUGGGUGAUGAGAAGGCAAAGCAAUAGAAAGGAGGCACUGAGGAUGUUUUAGGGUACCUCUGCCUGGGAAGAAGGAAGGGCCCAUCUGUUUACCACCAGGGUAGCCACGCACUUGACCCUACUUCCCACAGCAGCUCGAGCCAGGUUUACAGAAUCAGCCACAUAUGCCCCACCUGCCCCUCCUCUCCUCUGUGAACUGUGCUGCACUUUCUACCACGAAAACGAGCCUCUUCCGAACAGAGGGAAUGGAGCCUACCCUAUGUGAGCACGCACAUUUCAUGCCAGCAGGAGGCACAGACAGGGG